UCCCUGGUGGCUUACAGGGUAAAGCGUCUGCCAGCAAUGCUGGAGUCCUGGGUUCGAUCCCCAGAUCGGGAA
RNAcentral lists this transfer RNA (72 nucleotides) under Bos taurus (domestic cattle). It matches the Rfam family "tRNA". Rfam says of the family: Transfer RNA (tRNA) molecules are approximately 80 nucleotides in length. Their secondary structure includes four short double-helical elements and three loops (D, anti-codon, and T loops). RNAcentral also lists the same sequence under 2 other names. Lineage: Eukaryota; Metazoa; Chordata; Mammalia; Artiodactyla; Bovidae. The record is from Rfam by way of RNAcentral.